GUGCUCACUUCAGCAGCACAUAUACUAAAAUUGGAACGACACGGAGAAGAUUAGCAUGUCCUCUGCACAAGGAUGAUACGCAAAUUUGUGAAGCAUUGCAUAUUCUU
Molecule: small nuclear RNA, 107 nt
Organism: Herpailurus yagouaroundi (jaguarundi)
Lineage: Eukaryota; Metazoa; Chordata; Mammalia; Carnivora; Felidae
Source: RefSeq, a predicted model, not a curated record